CAGGCAUGAGCCACCAUGCCUGGCCAGAUACAGAUAUAUUUUUAAGGAAAAAUACUGGAAGAGUAAUCAGCAAACGUUAAAAAUAGCCCUGUAGGGCAGAUGAAGCCACCUACACACCACCUCCCAGCCUUUGCCCUGACCGUUCCUUUGCCUUGAAUGGCAAUCUCUUCUCUGCCUCUGCAAAUUAUAACCUGCCGAGGAAACAUCCCGCUCCUUCUGGGCUCUUGCAGACCUCACGAACCAGCUAUCUCUGCCGUGGGAAGAUGCUCUCUGGACCGCCUGACAUUGCCACUAAUGACCGAGGACCCCAGCUGGAUCUGAAAUAUCCAUCUCCUCUCACCCCUCAGAGCCACCGCAAGCUUGGACUGUGACCUGCUGGGUUCCAGAGAGGGCAAGUCUUCCUCCAGUAGAAGUCCGUGGCUCCAUGUCAGUGGUUCUAAGAGGCUUCUUCCAAAGGCUACAUUUCUUCUCAUAACUAUCCCAGUGCGGGCUCUCUAGGCCUGCCUAUUAUAUAUAAAUACACUUAACUUUUAUGGGGGUAUGCAGUGCUCUCGGCAUAAACCAUCUCCUCUGUCCCAAAGGACUAGGGGAAGGGCUGGAACAUGGAGCAUGUGCACAUGUGACAACACCAGGACAGAUUCUGAGACCCAGAUGAUUGGAACCUACACCACAAGGGAGCUCACAUUCCACUGGGAGACAACGGACACUCAGUGAAUCUUAAACAUCAAGCCGCAGAGGAGAAGUGCUGUGAAGAAAGUGAACCAAGGUGGUAUGUGCCAACCAGUGAGGGUGGCCUGGCCAAGGCUGUCAGGGAAGGCUUCCCUGAGCGGGUGCCUAGAGGGAGCCAGGCAGCCAGGCAGUGGUGGGAGGUGGGUGGGGAGAACCUUCCAGGCAGGAGGAGAAGAGCAAGGGCUGAGUCCCUAGGGCAGGAGGGUGUUUGCUAAGCUGAAGGGACAGGGAGGAGUCAGUGUGGCUGCAGCUUGGAGAGUGAGUGAGAAGGCACUGACCUAAGCAAAGCAGGGGGCCAUUCAGUGCAGCUUGAGGGGAGGAUCCAGAACCCCUACCCACCAGCUCAUGGUCUGACCUUGCCCAGAUUCACUGCAAGGCCUGAGGCUGGUCCUGAAACCCAGAUCCUCCCCAGCGGGAUCUCUGCAAUGAGAAGGGCUGGCUGGACAAUGUUCACCAUCCCUUCCAGCUGCAGCCAAGUUGGGACAGCCCUGGGGGGUUUCUCUUGUCCACAUGCUAUGGAUACAAUGCUGGGGUGGAGGGGGCAGCCACCAUAUCUUCCCAUGCUGGGGUUGAGGGGUUCCCAGCUCCCCAGCACAGCCCUCAGCUUUCAGGGAGCUUGUCUACUCUUUCUGAGAAUCUGCUACCACUUUUUGCAGACCCCAAAUGUGAGUUCCAGCCACAUCAUUCCCCCCACUUCUCUCAUUCAAGAACCAUGUUCCUGAUACUGCCUUAUCCUUACACUAUUGUGCUGUUAUUUACUUCAGGGUCAGGAAUCGGAUUAGGACUUUUUCUUAAAUGAUCUUAUUUUAAAGGGAAACAUUGUACCAUUGCUAUGUAAUACUUGCCAUAAAUACAAAGUAACCAUGAAAUAAACAUUCUGCAAUAUCCAUGUUAUCAAAUUCUAGCUAGAUAGCAUCCUA
RNAcentral lists this long non-coding RNA (1649 nucleotides) under Homo sapiens (human). RNAcentral describes it as "HSALNT0401728". The record is from RNAcentral. Lineage: Eukaryota; Metazoa; Chordata; Mammalia; Primates; Hominidae.